GACUCACUUGAUGGAGGACUUUCUGCCACCACUUGGGUACCUUCAUGUCUGAGUAGCUUCUCUCCAGGAAAAAAAUGUAAACACAUGAUCUUUGAAGAUAGCAUCUAUCCUGGAAUGUCAAGAGUCACUGCCUGAGGAGAAAGAGCCUGCUUGAUUCUGAAGGAAUGACUACAGCAAGAGAAGUAAAACAUCCUUUGCCUAAUUGUUGGCGAUUAAGAGGAGGGAAAAACUUCCAUGGCAACCGAGCUGGCAGGGACAGCCAGAGAGGGCUUUGAAAGGUUCUGCCUUCUCGGGUUCAAGUCCACGCAAUGAGUCAAGUACUGAGAUCCGUCAUAAUGAUUCUUGCGGUCGCUCAUCUCAGUGCUCACGAAGGGAACCAAAUUCAAUCUUUGCAGAUGGUCAGUUUUGCAAGCAGAAUCUUCCCUUUACUCCCAUUCAGAGAUUCAGAGAUGAUAGGACCCAGGACCCAGUAAGUACCAUAGUCAUGCUGGUGACCAAAUUCCCGGGAAUGAAGAAAGUCUGGAUUUACUCCCUGGAGGAUCCAAGUAAGGAUGCUUCAGAUGUGCAAAGACAAACCCCACCGUCUAAAUUGUACUGUAAAUAUUGUCAUACUGGACUCGCAUCCGCCAUCCAAAGCCCUUCAUGAUCCACGUAUAAGCAUAAUGCAGACCUCUGAGUCAGCCAAGUAUGCCGGCGGGCACAGAGUGGUCUAGCUUUAAGAGAGUUCUUCCCUGACAUGCCUUCUCCUGUGAUUCCUUCCCUGAUUCUCUGGUACCACAUUUUGAGUACGUCUCUGAGUAGACAGCUAUGUUCUCCCACUUCCUCUCCUUCAACCCUCUCAACCCUUUAUCCCUCAAAACCUCGCUUCUUGAAGUCACUUUGAGUUGACUAUAAUGGGGGAGGGGAGAGCUUG
This is a long non-coding RNA of Mus musculus (house mouse), 913 nucleotides long. RefSeq annotates it as predicted gene, 30052. The record is from RefSeq and is marked validated. Lineage: Eukaryota; Metazoa; Chordata; Mammalia; Rodentia; Muridae. The transcript is spliced from 3 exons.